GUGCAGCACAGUACAGUACAG
This 21-nucleotide microRNA is filed under the name Bombyx mori (domestic silkworm). Its description in RNAcentral is "bmo-miR-3250". The record is from miRBase by way of RNAcentral. Lineage: Eukaryota; Metazoa; Arthropoda; Insecta; Lepidoptera; Bombycidae.